GAGAUCCGUCGGUACGGUGAAGGAAAAUUUUAGCAGCUGUUUGGCCAUUUUGUGCGGUUUCGCUGGCGGAUAUUGAAAUCUGUUUUCAGUAGACAACUGUGUUUCCGUCUCGAGAUCCGUGAGGAUUUGUAUCUAUUGGUGUCGGAUUGUUGCUGACUGGCCGUAACGAUUACGACGAAUACGACGACGAUAUUGGCGACGAGCAGCCGGUUGGCUAGACAAUUCCUUUUCAUUUUUGGAGUACAACCGUCGAAGUGUCUGGUAGCGUUGCCACGCUUCGGUAACAAGUUCAUUCAUAAUUGACUACAGUUGGAGGCAGAAUGACGGCCACGAUACUCCGAAGUCAAAUGAAGGCCAUUGGCGAUGCGCGCGUCCGGAGAUGUCAAUCGAUGAUGGUACAUGUCGAUCCCUAUGUCGAUGAUCCCGAUCCAUUACCACAACGAAGAACGCGUGUCGAUGAUGAGUCAGCGAAAAGCUCUUCCGGGGAUUCUCGGAGUGAGCAUUGUGGGGGUUCCAGUCGCCGGUCAAACCGCAUCGGAAAAAGAAUAAGUGAAUCGAAUUUGGCGCUCGAUGGCCUGCCGAGGCAUUCGAAAAGAACAAGAAGAAAGAAUAUUUUAAGCGAAUUUGAAUCAUUUUAGUUUUAAAUGAUCGACCCGGAUAAAAAAUAUCAUUAAAAUAUCAUAAAUUUUAUUGUUACAACACCAUUUAAAACAUAAUUUUUACCAUUGAAUAUAAUGGAAUUUUGACAAUAAAAUCACAUAAGAAAUAA
This is a long non-coding RNA of Armigeres subalbatus, 769 nucleotides long. RefSeq lists it as uncharacterized. The record is from RefSeq and is a predicted model, not a curated record. The transcript has 2 exons. Lineage: Eukaryota; Metazoa; Arthropoda; Insecta; Diptera; Culicidae.